Molecule: ribosomal RNA, 253 nt
Filed under: uncultured bacterium
Lineage: Bacteria
Description: partial 16S ribosomal RNA
Rfam family: Bacterial small subunit ribosomal RNA
Source: RNAcentral
UACGUAGGGCGCAAGCGUUAUCCGGAAUUAUUGGGCGUAAAGAGCUCGUAGGCGGUUUGUCGCGUCUGCCGUGAAAGCCCAGGGCUUAACCCUGGGUCUGCGGUGGGUACGGGCAGACUAGAGUGUGGUAGGGGAGACUGGAAUUCCUGGUGUAGCGGUGAAAUGCGCAGAUAUCAGGAGGAACACCGAUGGCGAAGGCAGGUCUCUGGGCCACUACUGACGCUGAGGAGCGAAAGCGUGGGGAGCGAACAGG